RNAcentral lists this transfer RNA (91 nucleotides) under Campylobacterota bacterium. Its description in RNAcentral is "Epsilonproteobacteria bacterium tRNA-Sec". It matches the Rfam family "tRNA". From Rfam's summary of the family: Transfer RNA (tRNA) molecules are approximately 80 nucleotides in length. Their secondary structure includes four short double-helical elements and three loops (D, anti-codon, and T loops). Further hydrogen bonds mediate the characteristic L-shaped molecular structure. tRNAs have two regions of fundamental functional importance: the anti-codon, which is responsible for specific mRNA codon recognition, and the 3' end, to which the tRNAs corresponding amino acid is attached (by aminoacyl-tRNA synthetases). tRNAs cope with the degeneracy of the genetic code in two manners: having more than one tRNA (with a specific anti-codon) for a particular amino acid; and 'wobble' base-pairing, i.e. permitting non-standard base-pairing at the 3rd anti-codon position. The record is from RNAcentral. Lineage: Bacteria; Pseudomonadati; Campylobacterota.
GCGAGUGUGGCCUAGUGGUAGGGCGCUGGGUUUCAGACCCAGAAAGUGUGACCAGCACAGAAAGCGGGUUCGAUUCCCGUCGCUCGCUCCA